Molecule: ribosomal RNA, 466 nt
Filed under: uncultured bacterium
Lineage: Bacteria
Description: partial 16S ribosomal RNA
Rfam family: Bacterial small subunit ribosomal RNA
Source: RNAcentral
GAUGAUCGCUGGCGGCGUGCUUAACACAUGCAAGUCGAACGAUGAAGCCCAGCUUGCUGGGUGGAUUAGUGGCGAACGGGUGAGUAACACGUGAGUAACCUGCCCUUGACUCUGGGAUAAGCCUGGGAAACUGGGUCUAAUACCGGAUAGGAACGUCCACCGCAUGGUGGGUGUUGGAAAGAUUUAUCGGUCAUGGAUGGACUCGCGGCCUAUCAGCUUGUUGGUGAGGUAAUGGCUCACCAAGGCGACGACGGGUAGCCGGCCUGAGAGGGUGACCGGCCACACUGGGACUGAGACACGGCCCAGACUCCUACGGGAGGCAGCAGUGGGGAAUAUUGCACAAUGGGCGAAAGCCUGAUGCAGCGACGCCGCGUGAGGGAUGACGGCCUUCGGGUUGUAAACCUCUUUCAGUAGGGAAGAAGCGAAAGUGACGGUACCUGCAGAAGAAGCACCGGCUAACUACGUG